UCGAUCUCAUAAUAUAAGCCCUACCUCUCUUAUAUCAAUACGACUCCGCGGUCGCGCCAUUGUUUCGAAAUCGACUCGACAUC
RNAcentral lists this small RNA (83 nucleotides) under Bacillus manliponensis. RNAcentral describes it as "Bacillus sp. BL4-6 BsrC". It matches the Rfam family "BsrC". Rfam says of the family: The 301 nucleotide sequence from Kouji Nakamura has been trimmed to a highly conserved ~85 nucleotide long core to form this family. Lineage: Bacteria; Bacillati; Bacillota; Bacilli; Caryophanales; Bacillaceae. The record is from Rfam by way of RNAcentral.